UAGCUCAGUGGUUUGAGCGUGGUGCUGACAACGACAACACCGAGGUCGCGGGUUCGAUUCCUGC
This 64-nucleotide transfer RNA is filed under the name Apaloderma vittatum (bar-tailed trogon). Lineage: Eukaryota; Metazoa; Chordata; Aves; Trogoniformes; Trogonidae. The record is from Rfam by way of RNAcentral.